Molecule: ribosomal RNA, 495 nt
Filed under: uncultured bacterium
Lineage: Bacteria
Description: partial 16S ribosomal RNA
Rfam family: Bacterial small subunit ribosomal RNA
Source: RNAcentral
GAUGAACGCUGGCGGCGUGCCUAAUACAUGCAAGUAGAACGCUGAAGGAGGAGCUUGCUUCUCUGGAUGAGUUGCGAACGGGUGAGUAACGCGUAGGUAACCUGCCUGGUAGCGGGGGAUAACUAUUGGAAACGAUAGCUAAUACCGCAUAAGAGUAGAUGUUGCAUGACAUUUGCUUAAAAGGUGCAAUUGCAUCACUACCAGAUGGACCUGCGUUGUAUUAGCUAGUUGGUGAGGUAACGGCUCACCAAGGCAACGAUACAUAGCCGACCUGAGAGGGUGAUCGGCCACACUGGGACUGAGACACGGCCCAGACUCCUACGGGAGGCAGCAGUAGGGAAUCUUCGGCAAUGGACGGAAGUCUGACCGAGCAACGCCGCGUGAGUGAAGAAGGUUUUCGGAUCGUAAAGCUCUGUUGUAAGAGAAGAACGAGUGUGAGAGUGGAAAGUUCACACUGUGACGGUAUCUUACCAGAAAGGGACGGCUAACUACGUG